UGGGGAAUAUUGGACAAUGGGCGCAAGCCUGAUCCAGCCAUGCCGCGUGAGUGAAGAAGGCCUUCGGGUUGUAAAGCUCUUUCGGCGGGGACGAAACGGUUCGUGACAACACCACGGACUAAUGACGGUACCCGCAUAAGAAGCACCGGCUAACUACGUGCCAGCAGCCGCGGUAAUACGUAGGGUGCAGGCGUUAAUCGGAAUUACUGGGCGUAAAGCGUGCGCAGGCGGUUUGUUAAGACAGGUGUGAAAUCCCCGGGCUUAACCUGGGAAUUGCGCUUGUAACUGGCAGGCUAGAGUGUGGCAGAGGGGGGUGGAAUUCCACGUGUAGCAGUGAAAUGCGUAGAUAUGUGGAGGA
Molecule: ribosomal RNA, 358 nt
Filed under: uncultured bacterium
Lineage: Bacteria
Description: bacterial SSU rRNA
Rfam family: Bacterial small subunit ribosomal RNA
Source: RNAcentral